GAUUAACGCUGGCGGCGUGCAUAACACAUGCAAGUCGAACGAUGAAACUUUUUUGAUUUCUUCGGAAUGAAAAAAAGUGGAUUAGUGGCGGACGGGUGAGUAACGCGUGAGUAACCUGCCUUAGAGAAGGGGAUAGCCUUUGGAAACGAAGAAUAAUACCCUAUGAAACCAUAACCUCGCAUGAGGCCUUGGUCAAAGAUUUAUCGCUCUAAGAUGGACUUGCGUCUGAUUAGUUAGUUGGUGGGGUAACGGCCCACCAAGACAGCGAUCAGUAGCCGGCUUGAGAGAGUGUACGGCCACAUUGGGACUGAGACACGGCCCAGACUCCUACGGGAGGCAGCAGUGGGGAAUUUUGCACAAUGGGGGAAACCCUGAUGCAGCGACGCCGCGUGAUUUAGAAGGCCUUCGGGUCGUAAAAAUCUUUUCUAUGGGAAGAAAAUGACAGUACCAUAGGAAUAAGGACCGGCUAAUUACGUGCCAGCAGCCGCGGUAAUACGUAAGGUCCGAGCGUUGUCCGGAAUCAUUGGGCGUAAAGGGUACGUAGGCGGGUAAGCAAGUUAGAAGUGAAAUCCUAUAGCUCAACUAUAGUAAGCUUUUAAAACUGCUCAUCUUGAGGUAUGGAAGGGAAAGUGGAAUUCCUAGUGUAGCGGUGAAAUGCGCAGAUAUUAGGAGGAAUACCGGUGGCGAAGGCGACUUUCUGGCCAUAACCUGACGCUGAGGUACGAAAGCGUGGGUAGCAAACAGG
RNAcentral lists this ribosomal RNA (745 nucleotides) under uncultured Anaerococcus sp. RNAcentral describes it as "bacterial SSU rRNA". It matches the Rfam family "Bacterial small subunit ribosomal RNA", at positions 28 to 776 of the family's 1533-position model. The record is from RNAcentral. Lineage: Bacteria; Bacillati; Bacillota; Tissierellia; Tissierellales; Peptoniphilaceae.